Molecule: long non-coding RNA, 559 nt
Organism: Equus quagga
Lineage: Eukaryota; Metazoa; Chordata; Mammalia; Perissodactyla; Equidae
Exons: 3
Source: RefSeq, a predicted model, not a curated record
GGGCAGGAGAGGACCUCGGCCACGCUGACCGUCAGGGCCCUGCCCGCCAAGUUCACCAAGGGUCUGAGGAAGGAAGAGGCCACAGAGGAGGCCACGGCCACACUGCGUUGUGAGCUGAGCAAGGUGGCCCCCGUGGAGUGGAGGAAGGGCUCUGAGACCCUCAGAACCGGUGACAGAGUCGCCUUGAAGCAAGACGGGGUUGUAUGUGAGCUGGAGAUCCGUGGCCUGGCCUUGGUGGAUGCUGGAGAGUACUCCUGCGUGUGCGGACAGGAGAGGACCUCAGCCACGCUGACCGUCAAGGCCCUGCCCGCCAAGUUCACCAAGGGUCUGAGGAAGGAAGAGGCCACAGAGGGCACCACGGCCACACUGCGCUGUGAGCUGAGCAAGGCGGCCCCCGUGGAGUGGAAGAAGGGGCCCGAGACCCUCAGAGCUGGAGACAGAGUCACCCUGAGACAGGAUGGGGCCGUGUGUGAACUGGAGAUCCGUGGCCUGGCCGUGGCGGACGCCGGGGAGUACUCCUGCGUGUGCGGGCAGGAGAGGACCUCAGCCAUGCUGACCG